Molecule: unclassified non-coding RNA, 143 nt
Filed under: Mollisia oblonga
Lineage: Eukaryota; Fungi; Ascomycota; Leotiomycetes; Helotiales; Mollisiaceae
Description: Phialocephala oblonga partial internal transcribed spacer 2
Source: RNAcentral
AGACCACUCACGCCCGGCGUGGUAUUGGGGCACGCGGUUCCGCGGCCCUCAAAAUUAGUGGCGGCGCCGGUAGGCCCUAAGCGUAGUAAAUCUCCUCGCUAUAGGGCCCUCUCGGUGGCUCGCCAGAACCCCCAACUUCUCAA